This 253-nucleotide ribosomal RNA is filed under the name uncultured bacterium. Its description in RNAcentral is "partial 16S ribosomal RNA". It matches the Rfam family "Bacterial small subunit ribosomal RNA", at positions 524 to 776 of the family's 1533-position model. The record is from RNAcentral.
UACGUAGGGCGCAAGCGUUAUCCGGAAUUAUUGGGCGUAAAGAGCGUGUAGGCGGCCAGGUAGGUCCGUUGUGAAAACUGGAGGCUUAACCUCCAGCGGUCGAUGGAAACCAUCUGGCUAGAGUCCGGAAGAGGAGAGUGGAAUUCCUGGUGUAGCGGUGAAAUGCGCAGAUAUCAGGAAGAACACCCGUGGCGAAGGCGGCUCUCUGGGACGGUACUGACGCUGAGACGCGAAAGCGUGGGGAGCGAACAGG